RNAcentral lists this transfer RNA (74 nucleotides) under Nitrososphaeria archaeon. Its description in RNAcentral is "tRNA-Val". It matches the Rfam family "tRNA". Rfam says of the family: Transfer RNA (tRNA) molecules are approximately 80 nucleotides in length. Their secondary structure includes four short double-helical elements and three loops (D, anti-codon, and T loops). The record is from RNAcentral. Lineage: Archaea; Thermoproteati; Nitrososphaerota; Nitrososphaeria.
GGGCCAGUGGUCUAGACUGGUAGGACGAAUCCCUCACACGGAUUAGGUCGUCGGUUCAAGUCCGACCUGGCCCG